RNAcentral lists this small RNA (605 nucleotides) under Arabidopsis thaliana (thale cress). Its description in RNAcentral is "ATSL195760". Lineage: Eukaryota; Viridiplantae; Streptophyta; Magnoliopsida; Brassicales; Brassicaceae. The record is from RNAcentral.
UGUAAUCUUAUAAGCAAAUAACCAACUUUUCUACUGAAAGUUAUAAGAAAAUGAGGCAAAAGUUUUAUUUAUAUUAGGGAAUUUAAUGAAAAAAACCCUCAACUUUGGCCAGAUCCAUUUUUAAACCCUAAACUAUGUUUUUAGUAAAACAAACCCUGAACUAAAACCUGUUAAUAAACUUAACCCCACAGUAAUUAAACAACGUUUAGGGUUAAGUUUAUUAACAGGUUUUAGUUCAGGGUUUGUUUUACUAAAAACAUAGUUUAGGGUUUAAAAAUGGAUCUGGCCAAAGUUGAGGUUUUUUUUCAUUAAAUUCCCUUUAUAUUAAUUGAAGCCGCAAGCAUGAGCUUGACCCGUUUGUGCUCAUGGAUGGCUCUGCUUGUAUCUAGUUAGAAGCCGAAACAACUAGUUUUCAGUACGCUAUGCAUGUAACUCAAAGAAUUUGGUGUAAGCAAUAAGUGAUUCUCAUUCUUGGUCGUGCUACAUUGAGGGAGAUACAACAACCAUGGGAAACACUUAUGCCUAAGCCUAACUUUUGAUUUGGGAGGAGGCAAAUGAACUAAUGCCUAAGCCUAAUAUUUUGCACAACUCUACUCGCGUGGCAC